Cydia pomonella (codling moth) is the source of this 679-nucleotide long non-coding RNA. RefSeq lists it as uncharacterized. The transcript has 2 exons. The record is from RefSeq and is a predicted model, not a curated record. NCBI's taxonomy places the organism in Eukaryota, Metazoa, Arthropoda, Insecta, Lepidoptera, Tortricidae.
ACGGGGCAUGUGAUGUUAUUAGUAUCUAGUGUUAAGCAAUAAUGUUAAGUGAGGGGUAAGCAAUAAUGUGCCUUCUAUAAUUGUAUUAAGGUGCAUCGAUUUUAUCGCUACAAAUGAUCACCUAUUUGAGCCUGCUUGCCAUCUGCUCAGUUGGUCCAGUGGUGUGAGGGCUUGACUAACAAGCUUGGGGCACCCGGUUCAAUCCCCGUAGCGGGCGAACUUUUUCCAUGUAUAUUUGUUUAUUUUGUGCAUUAUUGUUUAGAUUUAGAAUUUUGGUUGCGGUCAUGACGAGAAAUCAGCAAAAAAUGAAAUGGAACGGACACUUGAGCUCGUGACGGCGACUCGGGUAAACAUCCUCCGCUGUUCUUGUGAAACGUGAUAUGGAAUAUUCAUUAUACCGAAAUAGUUUAAAUGUGCAAUCUGGAAAUCCAACCAGCUGGAGUGAUAAUAUUUUGUUUAUAUUGUGUGUGCCGUUUCAACUACACUAAGGGCUUAAGGAAACGCCCUUUUGGUGCACGGCAAAUAUUGUUAUUUGAAGAUUGGGCUAGCUAAAAGGACAGGCAGUGGGUAGGCAGCGGCACCCAGUCGACCAUCAGACUAAACGCUCCUGGCGUCCAACUAGUUUUAGGAUAGUUAAGUUUCAUUGUACAUAGAGGUUAAUAAACGUAGUUUUAGCAUU